Non-coding RNA from Dermacentor albipictus, 438 nucleotides. The record is from RefSeq and is a predicted model, not a curated record. Lineage: Eukaryota; Metazoa; Arthropoda; Arachnida; Ixodida; Ixodidae.
CACGUGAAGGUAAGCUUUUGCUCUUCCCUGUUGCCUUCCUGUUUGUGGAAUCUGUUUCGUAUAUAAGGAACGCAAACUAUUUCUACUCUAACCGUUGAGUGAAUGUACCCUAUAUAACCAAUAUAGGAGCACUGCAGCAGCCAGGAGUGGUCCCUGUUGAGCCACUGCCCCGAAGCCCUCCAGCCACUGCACAGCCUGCAGCUGGCCCUGGCGGAGUGAGAACCAGCUACCAGCCCCGGGUGCAGCGCCGGUCUCGAGGCCCUCGCCGGUUGUCCCACCGGGACGCCUUGGUCGAACGGCUCGCGGAUGACUACGCCAGAACCGUCGCACAGAACGACGAGACAAACGAACUCCUUCAUGGUAUCCGCCAGGGCGUAGACCGGCUGGCUGCAGCUACUGAGCGGGUCGUGGCUGCUGUGGAGCGGCAGGCUGACCAAG